AUUGAACGCUGGCGGCAGGCCUAACACAUGCAAGUCGAGCGGAAACGACAUUAUUGAUUCUUCGGAGGAUUUAAUGGGCGUCGAGCGGCGGACGGGUGAGUAAUGCCUAGGAAAUUGCCUUGAUGUGGGGGAUAACCAUUGGAAACGAUGGCUAAUACCGCAUAAUGCCUACGGGCCAAAGAGGGGGAUCUUCGGACCUCUCGCGUCAAGAUAUGCCUAGGUGGGAUUAGCUAGUUGGUGAGGUAAUGGCUCACCAAGGCGACGAUCCCUAGCUGGUCUGAGAGGAUGAUCAGCCACACUGGAACUGAGACACGGUCCAGACUCCUACGGGAGGCAGCAGUGGGGAAUAUUGCACAAUGGGCGAAAGCCUGAUGCAGCCAUGCCGCGUGUAUGAAGAAGGCCUUCGGGUUGUAA
Molecule: ribosomal RNA, 414 nt
Filed under: uncultured bacterium
Lineage: Bacteria
Description: bacterial SSU rRNA
Rfam family: Bacterial small subunit ribosomal RNA
Source: RNAcentral